RNAcentral lists this long non-coding RNA (1819 nucleotides) under Homo sapiens (human). Its description in RNAcentral is "long intergenic non-protein coding RNA 2241". Lineage: Eukaryota; Metazoa; Chordata; Mammalia; Primates; Hominidae. The record is from RNAcentral.
GAGGAAGUGAGCUGCCAUGUACUAGGCCACGUGGCAAGGGCCUGGUUGGGGACCUCCAGGGGUUGAGAGCAUCCUCUGGACAACAUGGAAAAAGAAAAUGAAAAUGGUGACCUCAGCCCUAUAGCUAGAAGGAAUUGAAUCCUGUCAACAACGAUACUCAUCACUCACUGCAGAUGUUACUUUAAGACAUUCUGGAGCAGCGUCAUGUGCAGGAGAAAAUAGUAUCAUCUCAGCCUUCUAUGAAAUCAAGGCAAUAUGUGCGUAGUGCCUCCGCCCAUCUCUCUCUUGCUCCUGGUCUCAUCGUGACGGGCCUGGUCCUGCCUCACUUUAUGCCACGACUAAGAGCUCCCUGAGGCCUCUCCAGAAGCAGAUAUCACUAUGCUUCCUACACAGCCUGCAGAACCGAACAAUAAGGAAGUGAGUGCUUUUGUAAUUCCUGAACAACUGUGUCUUACACUUACUAAGGCCUUUGAGCUUAUACUGAAUUAUACCACCAGCUUUCCUAGGUCUUGAAGCUUACAGACAGCAGAUCUUGGGACUUCUCAGGCACCAUAAUCAAUCAUAGAUAAAUGAUCCAAUGAUUCGGAACUUGAAAAGUGGUAGCUUUAUGAAUUCUCCUUAAGAAGAAACCUGUGCCCUGAUCUUGCCUACUCACCCAAAGGCACUGUGAGAUAGCAUCAAAGGAACAGCUAGUAAGAGACACAGAGCCAGAAAUCAGGGAAGUAAAAUACACUUGACAUCUACGUUCGGAAAGAAAUUUUAGGAGGCAGAAGCAAAUGGAUCAGAAGCUGCUUAUAUUUUUGCAAGAUUACCAAAGAAACCAUUGGUGGAGAAAGUUCUGUGACCAACUUGUCUGAGUCUAGUAAGAUUGAACGCUCACACACAAGUUUCAUGAAGUGGGUUUGAUACUUACAGAUAAGCAGCAAGGACCAACAGAAGCUGAUGAUCUAUGGUGAACUUUUUCCCAAGGCUCCGGAAAGCUGCCUAAAGUAGAUGGAGUCUUCUCUGUGUGUGCCCCACUGGUCCUGCAGUUGAAGGAUCCGGUAAAGCAGCCUGCCCUUGGUUUUAUACUCCAGAGGAACGUGAUUCGCUGGACUAAAGCAUUGAAGUGCAUCCUGUUUCCGGGGGGCACUGGAACAGAGCCUGGUCUGUUCUAGCCAGUCCCUUUCUAUCUCAGGAUAACAUUCUACAGUUAUUCUUGAGAACUAUAAUCAAAUAAGCAGGGAGAACUGGGAAAGCAGAGGCUCAUUGUGGAACCCUCAAGGAGCAUGGGGUCGUCUUCAUCCCUCAGUUUAUAAAUGGCCAAGGAGAGUAAUGCAACAAAAACUUCUCAGAGUUAAAAGCCAGAGUUCCUAAAGAACCGUGGACAAAGGGUUCUGUCUAGUGGGCAGAAUUCAUCCAGCGAAGGUGCUUACUGCACUCCCAGCAUGUGCUUGGGAACUUUAUUAAAAUUCCUUCCUAUUGAGAUUUAAAUUGCUGUCCAGAAUUAUACAAUAUAAUGAAUGGGGGCAUUCAUUAUGUGUAUUCUAUGCCUUCUCCAUCAUUGCAUAUUCAGUCCUCGUGCUAGAGAGAGGCAGAUAAUCUACCUUUUAAAUUGAUAGGUCUCCUAACUACAGAGGGUCACAUCUGGAUCUGAUGGCACCUACAGAACUUGGACUCUGAGCGACAAUCAGUGACCAGGAAAUUUGGAACCCAGGUUUUCCCAACCUACAUCUACAAAAUGGAAUGGGUCUGAUUCGCAAGUUUUCAGAGAAAGAAGCCAACCUUAAUCAGACUGUGAUAUGAUGAGGAAAUAAAACUUGCUGUGCUAAUCAACUGA